Molecule: ribosomal RNA, 505 nt
Filed under: uncultured Glomus
Lineage: Eukaryota; Fungi; Glomeromycota; Glomeromycetes; Glomerales; Glomeraceae
Description: SSU rRNA
Rfam family: Eukaryotic small subunit ribosomal RNA
Source: RNAcentral
CCAGCUCCAAUAGCGUAUAUUAAAGUUGUUGCAGUUAAAAAGCUCGUAGUUGAAUUUCGGGAUCAAUUUAUUGGUCGUGCUAUCGUACGUACUGGUAUUAUUGAUUCCUACCUUCUGACGAACCAUGAUGUCAUUAAUUUGGUGUCAUGGGAAUCAGGACUGUUACUUUGAAAAAAUUAGAGUGUUUAAAGCAGGCUCACGCUUGAAUACAUUAGCAUGGAAUAACGAAAUAGGGCGUUUGAUUCUAUUUUGUUGGUUUCUAGGAUCGACGUAAUGAUUAAUAGGGAUAGUUGGGGGCAUUAGUAUUCAAUUGUCAGAGGUGAAAUUCUUGGAUUUAUUGAAGACUAAACUACUGCGAAAGCAUUUGCCAAGGAUGUUUUCAUUAAUCAAGAACGAAGGUUAGGGGAUCGAAGACGAUCAGAUACCGUCGUAGUCUUAACCAUAAACUAUGCCGACUAGGGAUCGGAUGAUGUUAAUUUUUUAAUGACUCAUUCGGCGCCUUACG